RNAcentral lists this long non-coding RNA (997 nucleotides) under Triticum aestivum (bread wheat). RNAcentral's name for it is "long non-coding RNA (TAES_LNC002101)". Lineage: Eukaryota; Viridiplantae; Streptophyta; Magnoliopsida; Poales; Poaceae. The record is from RNAcentral.
GUUAAGUCUGUCAAGAGAAAUGAUUAUUCUACUGCGGCAACAGUGUACAGUGUGGUAUGCUACUAUACCUUAUUUCUCAACGUGCAGUCUUGAAUUAUAUCAGCUGAAGUUGCUUGAAUUGAUGUUAGGUGGUCAUGAUCUGGUUUCACAUUAUUCUUGUCAUACAUGCUCACUUUAGAGAGAGUGAUGAUCUUUGCGACCGAUAAGUACACUUGGCCUCAUGCUUUGCUUUGAGACACAUCUCUCUUUGAUUUAUUGAAAAUAAUUUUUAUUGCCGUAUGUAAGUUUGAUCAUGAGGACCUGACAAGGACUUACUGUAUCCUUAAACAGCAGUAGAACCGUUGUUCAUUUCACUUUUUGAUGGGGAACGACAUGGGCUCUGCUUUUGCACUGUAGCAGAGGGGAAAACACAGUACAACUGUACAUCAGAGAAAAACGCGUAAGACUCACACAUGGAAGCUAAACUAAGCAACCCAGCACCCUAACUCGGAUGAGCAUACUCGAGGAUCAGAACAUCCUCCUGAAUGGAACUAGCUAACGCAGCCGCUUUAUCAUUUUCUGCUCUAAGAUCCUUCGGCUUCUGACCACGAUUCCCUUUUUCCGGGAUCCUCCUCCACCACUUGCAAUCGUGGGUGAGGAAAACACAAUGGAGGAAAUGAUGGGGUCGUCAAAGCUGGAAUUGUUGCCACACAUCCUUUGGAUAAAAGCACUUGAGAGAAACUUGCAGCGCACUCUCAGGUUCCUGGUCAUACAAGCAGCAAAUACUGUUGUGUGGCCAACCUCAUGCACUGAGCCUGUUCGCUGUCCAGUUGUUGAUUUCUGGGUUGUGGGUUUGGACAUUAAGAGAUUUUGAUAUCUCUUACUUGCAAGGAAGAAUGGAGAAUUAUUUGUACAUAGAAAUUGAACCUGUUUGACAAUUGUCUUCACUUCAACAUUGUCCUAUUCUUGUACUUCAGUUACUGCUAUAAGGACAUUAGCUUGAAUUGAAUUGACAAUA